CCAAAUGAGCCUCUGUCAGCACCUUUGCUCCAGAUUUUUCUUUUUUAAAUCUACACGACUUGUCAUCAUGACCUUGAUGCUUGCAAUAAACACAAUACUUAGGCAGGUUAUCGAUCACUAUUUGUUGAUGAAUCUCGACAGUUUUACCUGAUAUUCUAUCAACAAUCUGCAGUUUGAUCUUCUUAGGAUGAUUAUCCAAAAGAUCAAUUAUAACCUUAACUCUUGCCGCGCUAGGUCUCGAUCUAUCCUGUGUUGCCUUGUCCAUAGCCAGAGGUUGAAAGAUCAAUUAUAACCUUAACUCUUACCGCGCAAGGUCUAGAUCUAUCCUGGGUUGCCUUGUUCACUGCCAGAGGUUUUCCCACAGCUGAG
This 369-nucleotide long non-coding RNA is filed under the name Nicotiana benthamiana. RNAcentral's name for it is "long non-coding RNA (NBEN_LNC018511)". The record is from RNAcentral. Lineage: Eukaryota; Viridiplantae; Streptophyta; Magnoliopsida; Solanales; Solanaceae.